This is a non-coding RNA of Myotis brandtii (Brandt's bat), 45 nucleotides long. NCBI's taxonomy places the organism in Eukaryota, Metazoa, Chordata, Mammalia, Chiroptera, Vespertilionidae. The record is from Rfam.
ACAAAGGCUCUUUUCAGAGCCACUUACACUUUCAGAAAAAGCUGG